GAGAAAGACAUAGAGGCUAUGGUUCUGGCUUGAAACCAGUUUUAGGGGGUUCGAAUCCUUCCUUUCUUA
RNAcentral lists this transfer RNA (69 nucleotides) under Neodon clarkei (Clarke's vole). RNAcentral describes it as "tRNA-Ser". It matches the Rfam family "tRNA". Rfam says of the family: Transfer RNA (tRNA) molecules are approximately 80 nucleotides in length. Their secondary structure includes four short double-helical elements and three loops (D, anti-codon, and T loops). The record is from RNAcentral. RNAcentral also lists the same sequence under 5 other names. Lineage: Eukaryota; Metazoa; Chordata; Mammalia; Rodentia; Cricetidae.